GAUGAAUGCUGGCGGCGCGCCUAACACAUGCAAGUCGAGCGGAAAGGCCCUUCGGGGUACUCGAGCGGCGGACGGCUGAGUAACGCGUGGGAACGUACCCCAAAGUGAGGAAUAACCGCCCGAAAGGGUGGCUAAUGCCGCAUAUGAUCUUCGGAUUGAAGCCUUCGGGCGCUUUGGGAACGACCUGCGUAUGAUUAGAUAGUUGGUAGGGUAAAGGCCUACCAAGUCUACGAUCAUUAACUGGUCUGAGAGGAUGAUCAGUCAGACUGGAACUGAGACACGGUCCAGACUCCUACGGGAGGCAGCAGUGAGGAAUCUUCCACAAUGGGCGAAAGCCUGAUGGAGCGACGCCGCGUGCAGGAUGAAGGCCUUCGGGUUGUAAACUGCUUUUAUAAGUGAAGAAUAUGACGGUAACUUAUGAAUAAGCACCGGCUAACUACGUGCCAGCAGCCGCGGUA
This 458-nucleotide ribosomal RNA is filed under the name uncultured bacterium. RNAcentral describes it as "partial 16S ribosomal RNA". It matches the Rfam family "Bacterial small subunit ribosomal RNA", at positions 28 to 522 of the family's 1533-position model. The record is from RNAcentral.